GACGAACGCUGGCGGCGUGCUUAACACAUGCAAGUCGAACGGAAAGGCCCUGCUCUUGUGGGGUGCUCGAGUGGCGAACGGGUGAGUAACACGUGAGUAACACGCCCUUGACUUUGGGAUAACUUCAGGAAAAUGGGGCUAAUAUCGGAUAGGAGCUACUGCAGCAUGGUGGGGGUUGGAAAGUUUCGGCGGUUGGGGCUGGACUCGCGGCUUAUCCGCUUGUUGGGGGGGUAGUGGCUUACCAAGGUUUUGACGGGUAGCCGGCCUGGGCGGGUGACCAGCCACAAUGGGACUGAGAUACGGCCCAGACUCCUACGGGAGGCAGCAGUGGGGAGUAUUGCACAAUGGGCGGAAGCCUGAUGCAGCAACGCCGCGUGCGGAAUGACGGCCUUCGGGUUGUAAACCGCUUUCGCCUGUGACGAAGCGUGAGUGACGGUAAUGGGUAAAGAAGCACCGGCUAACUACGUG
Molecule: ribosomal RNA, 468 nt
Filed under: uncultured bacterium
Lineage: Bacteria
Description: partial 16S ribosomal RNA
Rfam family: Bacterial small subunit ribosomal RNA
Source: RNAcentral